This 499-nucleotide ribosomal RNA is filed under the name uncultured Sphingobacteriales bacterium. Its description in RNAcentral is "bacterial SSU rRNA". It matches the Rfam family "Bacterial small subunit ribosomal RNA", at positions 904 to 1382 of the family's 1533-position model. Lineage: Bacteria; Pseudomonadati; Bacteroidota; Sphingobacteriia; Sphingobacteriales. The record is from RNAcentral.
CCUUGCCAGCCCGCUCAGAAACUUACAGGAAGUUGACGGGGCCCGGCACAAGCGGUGGAGCAUGUGGUUAAUUCGAUGAUACGCGAGGAACCUUACCUGGGCUCAAAUGUAUGUUGACGUAUUCUGAAAGGGAUACUUCUUCGGACAAUAUACAAGGUGCUGCAUGGUUGUCGUCAGCUCGUGCCGUGAGGUGUCGGGUUAAGUCCCAUAACGAGCGCAACCCUAUCAUUAGUUGCCAUCAGGUCAAGCUGGGGACUCUAAUGAAACUGCCUACGCAAGUAGUGAGGAAGGUGGGGAUGACGUCAAGUCAUCAUGGCCCUUACGGCCUGGGCUACACACGUGCUACAAUGGUCGGUACAAAGGGUUGCCAAGCCGCGAGGUGGAGCUAAUCCCAUAAAACCGAUCGUAGUCCGGAUCGCAGCUGCAACUCGACUGCGUGAAGUCGGAAUCGCUAGUAAUCGUGAAUCAGAAUGUCACGGUGAAUACGUUCCCGGGCCUU